CACGUAGGGUGCGAGCGUUGUCCGGAAUUAUUGGGCGUAAAGAGCUCGUAGGCGGUGUGUCGCGUCGGCCGUGAAAACCUGCAGCUUAACUGUGGGCGUGCGGUCGAUACGGGCAUCACUGGAGUUCGGCAGGGGAGACUGGAAUUCCUGGUGUAGCGGUGAAAUGCGUAGAUAUCAAGAGGAACACCUGCGGCGAAGGCGGGUUGCUGGGCCGACACUGACGCUGAUGCGCGAAAGCCAGGGGAGCGAACGGG
This 254-nucleotide ribosomal RNA is filed under the name uncultured bacterium. RNAcentral describes it as "partial 16S ribosomal RNA". It matches the Rfam family "Bacterial small subunit ribosomal RNA", at positions 524 to 776 of the family's 1533-position model. The record is from RNAcentral.